UCAGCCGUCUCCGAAUGCUUAGAUUAGUUGAUCAUGGCUCAGAGCGAACGCUNUACGGUAGGCCUAACACAUGCAAGUCGAACGGCAGCACAGGAGAGCUUGCUCUCUGGGUGGCGAGUGGCGGACGGGUGAGGAAUACAUCGGAAUCUACUCUGUCGUGGGGGAUAACGGUUAGGGGGAAACUUUACGCUAAUUUAAAGCNGCCGAGCCCGCCACUGUGGGUCUNGGACCNUGAACGAAAAGAGGAGGUUUUUUUAUAUAGACGCCCUCGUGGAGCGNACAAAAUAGCGACCGCAUAGCCNCNCGGUUUUUUUUAAAAAGGCCCCCGAUNAGGCGCAGCGUGGGGGUGGGCACUCCCGUUUUUNGGGGCGACCAAAAAACACAGACACACAGGGGACAACAACACAGNGCGGCCGACAAACCCCCCCCACGGGAGANACAACAACACCGCCGGGAGCACGCCCCCGACGAGGGCGCGUGGCCGGGGGCGGGCCCCUCGCGGGGGGGGGGCGCGCGCGANAAAAAAAAGAGUCGGUUUUUUUUUUUCCCCCCCUGCUGGCUCUUUUUUUUUUUCCCCNCCNUCUUUUUUUCUCCCCCCCCUCCUCGAGCGCGGGGCGGG
Molecule: ribosomal RNA, 619 nt
Filed under: uncultured bacterium
Lineage: Bacteria
Description: partial 16S ribosomal RNA
Source: RNAcentral